RNAcentral lists this ribosomal RNA (737 nucleotides) under Brevundimonas sp. 26. RNAcentral's name for it is "bacterial SSU rRNA". It matches the Rfam family "Bacterial small subunit ribosomal RNA", at positions 104 to 877 of the family's 1533-position model. The record is from RNAcentral. Lineage: Bacteria; Pseudomonadati; Pseudomonadota; Alphaproteobacteria; Caulobacterales; Caulobacteraceae.
GGGUGAGUAACACGUGGGAACGUGCCUUUAGGUUCGGAAUAACUCAGGGAAACUUGUGCUAAUACCGAAUGUGCCCUUCGGGGGAAAGAUUUAUCGCCUUUAGAGCGGCCCGCGUCUGAUUAGCUAGUUGGUGGUGUAAUGGACCACCAAGGCGACGAUCAGUAGCUGGUCUGAGAGGAUGAUCAGCCACAUUGGGACUGAGACACGGCCCAAACUCCUACGGGAGGCAGCAGUGGGGAAUCUUGCGCAAUGGGCGAAAGCCUGACGCAGCCAUGCCGCGUGAAUGAUGAAGGUCUUAGGAUUGUAAAAUUCUUUCACCGGGGACGAUAAUGACGGUACCCGGAGAAGAAGCCCCGGCUAACUUCGUGCCAGCAGCCGCGGUAAUACGAAGGGGGCUAGCGUUGCUCGGAAUUACUGGGCGUAAAGGGAGCGUAGGCGGACAUUUAAGUCAGGGGUGAAAUCCCGGGGCUCAACCUCGGAAUUGCCUUUGAUACUGGGUGUCUUGAGUAUGAGAGAGGUGUGUGGAACUCCGAGUGUAGAGGUGAAAUUCGUAGAUAUUCGGAAGAACACCAGUGGCGAAGGCGACACACUGGCUCAUUACUGACGCUGAGGCUCGAAAGCGUGGGGAGCAAACAGGAUUAGAUACCCUGGUAGUCCACGCCGUAAACGAUGAUUGCUAGUUGUCGGGAUGCAUGCAUUUCGGUGACGCAGCUAACGCAUUAAGCAAUCCGCCUGGG